RNAcentral lists this long non-coding RNA (539 nucleotides) under Monodelphis domestica (gray short-tailed opossum). Its description in RNAcentral is "lncRNA (ENSMODG00000035789.2)". The record is from RNAcentral. Lineage: Eukaryota; Metazoa; Chordata; Mammalia; Didelphimorphia; Didelphidae.
AGCACUUCCUUCCUGCCCGGAGUGGCAGUUGGGUCUGGUGACUAGUACUUCCUUCCUGCCAGGGUGGAACUUGCUGCCUGGUGUUGGAGGAGGUAGGAGCUUGUUCAGCCCAGUCUGGUGUGGUGUGCUGCCUCUUCCUGGUUCAGCCAGAAGAUUCAGGCCCAGUCGCUUCUGAAGAUCAUCUGAAAUCUAAUCACUGACCCUCAUCGGUCAUGGACCCCAGUUUAAGGAUUUCUACAUACCCCAAAGAUCAGAGUGGUUAAGAGACCUCUACAGGGUAUCUGCUCCAUCUCUUCAAGCAGCAUCCUGUUGUUUUUGUUGGUCCUUCAUUUCUGAAAGAACAUCAGUGGCAUCAUGGGGUAAUAUCUUGACUUGAACAUGAACUGGAUUUAUCUGAGACAGAACUGCACAAAGUCAUCAGUCUCACUUUCCCUUCUAGAGUCAUCAAUGUCCAAUGUUCUAGGAGCACUUCCAUGGAAUGCACAGAAUAGCCCAAAAGACGUAAAAUAUACUGGUCGAUGCUACAAUAAAGUUCUCAG